CAUAUCAAUAAGCGGAGGAAAAGAAACCAACAGGGAUUGCCUUAGUAGCGGCGAGUGAAGCGGCAAAAGCUCAAAUUUGAAAUCUGGCUCUUUCAGAGUCCGAGUUGUAAUUUGAAGAAGGUAUCUUUGGGUCUGGCUCUUGUCUAUGUUUCUUGGAACAGAACGUCACAGAGGGUGAGAAUCCCGUGCGAUGAGAUGAUCCAGGCCUAUGUAAAGUUCCUUCGAAGAGUCGAGUUGUUUGGGAAUGCAGCUCUAAGUGGGUGGUAAAUUCCAUCUAAAGCUAAAUAUUGGCGAGAGACCGAUAGCGAACAAGUACAGUGAUGGAAAGAUGAAAAGAACUUUGAAAAGAGAGUGAAAAAGUACGUGAAAUUGUUGAAAGGGAAGGGCUUGAGAUCAGACUUGGUAUUUUGUAUGUUACUUCUUCGGGGGUGGCCUCUACAGUUUAUCGGGCCAGCAUCAGUUUGGGCGGUAGGAGAAUUGCGUUGGAAUGUGGCACGGCUUCGGUUGUGUGUUAUAGCCUUCGUCGAUACUGCCAGCCUAGACUGAGGACUGCGGUUUAUACCUAGGAUGUUGGCAUAAUGAUCUUAAG
Molecule: ribosomal RNA, 589 nt
Filed under: Candida tropicalis
Lineage: Eukaryota; Fungi; Ascomycota; Pichiomycetes; Serinales; Debaryomycetaceae
Description: eukaryotic LSU rRNA
Rfam family: Eukaryotic large subunit ribosomal RNA
Source: RNAcentral